GCAGCUUGCUGCUUCGCUGACGAGUGGCGGACGGGUGAGUAAUGUCUGGGAAACUGCCUGAUGGAGGGGGAUAACUACUGGAAACGGUAGCUAAUACCGCAUAACGUCGCAAGACCAAAGAGGGGGACCUUCGGGCCUCUUGCCAUCGGAUGUGCCCAGAUGGGAUUAGCUAGUAGGUGGGGUAACGGCUCACCUAGGCGACGAUCCCUAGCUGGUCUGAGAGGAUGACCAGCCACACUGGAACUGAGACACGGUCCAGACUCCUACGGGAGGCAGCAGUGGGGAAUAUUGCACAAUGGGCGCAAGCCUGAUGCAGCCAUGCCGCGUGUAUGAAGAAGGCCUUCGGGUUGUAAAGUACUUUCAGCGGGGAGGAAGGGAGUAAAGUUAAUACCUUUGCUCAUUGACGUUACCCGCAGAAGAAGCACCGGCUAACUCCGUGCCAGCAGCCGCGGUAAUACGGAGGGUGCAAGCGUUAAUCGGAAUUACUGGGCGUAAAGCGCACGCAGGCGGUUUGUUAAGUCAGAUGUGAAAUCCCCGGGCUCAACCUGGGAACUGCAUCUGAUACUGGCAAGCUUGAGUCUCGUAGAGGGGGGUAGAAAUCCAUGGUUA
Molecule: ribosomal RNA, 609 nt
Filed under: Escherichia coli
Lineage: Bacteria; Pseudomonadati; Pseudomonadota; Gammaproteobacteria; Enterobacterales; Enterobacteriaceae
Description: bacterial SSU rRNA
Rfam family: Bacterial small subunit ribosomal RNA
Source: RNAcentral